AAUCAGUCUGUUACAUUCUAGCAAUGAGUAGCACCAUCACUGGAGGGAAGCAAUUCAGCACAGUAUGUUACCCGUGGUGGAGGCGAAACGGACGGCAC
This 98-nucleotide non-coding RNA is filed under the name Scheffersomyces stipitis CBS 6054. The record is from Rfam by way of RNAcentral. Lineage: Eukaryota; Fungi; Ascomycota; Pichiomycetes; Serinales; Debaryomycetaceae.